Molecule: ribosomal RNA, 360 nt
Filed under: uncultured bacterium
Lineage: Bacteria
Description: bacterial SSU rRNA
Rfam family: Bacterial small subunit ribosomal RNA
Source: RNAcentral
CUCCAGUCUCCUACGGGAGGCAGCAGUGGGGAAUAUUGGGCAAUGGGCGCAAGCCUGACCCAGCAACGCCGCGUGAAGGAAGAAGGCUUUCGGGUUGUAAACUUCUUUUGUCAGGGACGAAGCAAGUGACGGUACCUGACGAAUAAGCCACGGCUAACUACGUGCCAGCCGCCGCGGUAAUACGUAGGUGGCAAGCGUUAUCCGGAUUUACUGGGUGUAAAGGGCGAGUAGGCGGGAUUGCAAGUCAGAUGUGAAAACUAUGGGCUCAACCGAGGGAGUGCAUUUGAAACUGCGGUUCUUGAGUGAUGGAGAGGCAGGCGGAAUUCCCGGUGGAGCGGGGGAAUGCGUAGAUAUCGGGGG